GGAAUAUUGGACAAUGGGGGAAACCCUGAUCCAGCAAUCCCGCGUGAGUGACGAAGGCCUUCGGGUCGUAAAGCUCUUUCAGCAGGGAAGAAGGGAAACUUGACGGUACCUGCAGAAGAAGCACCGGCUAACUACGUGCCAGCAGCCGCGGUAAUACGUAGGGUGCAAGCGUUGUUCGGAAUCAUUGGGCGUAAAGCGCGUGUAGGCGGCAAGCUAAGUCUGGUGUGAAAGCCCGGGACUUAACACCGGAAGUGCACUGGAGACUGGCUAGCUAGAGGACGAGAGAGGAUGGUGGAAUUCCUGGUGUAGGGGUGAAAUCCGUAGAUAUCAGGAGGAACAUCGGUGGCGAAGGCGGCCAUCUGGCCCGUUUCUGACGCUGAGACGCGAAAGCGUGGGGAGCAAAC
RNAcentral lists this ribosomal RNA (404 nucleotides) under uncultured bacterium. RNAcentral describes it as "bacterial SSU rRNA". It matches the Rfam family "Bacterial small subunit ribosomal RNA", at positions 358 to 773 of the family's 1533-position model. The record is from RNAcentral.